RNAcentral lists this long non-coding RNA (5988 nucleotides) under Sus scrofa (pig). RNAcentral's name for it is "lncRNA (ENSSSCG00000057590.1)". The record is from RNAcentral. Lineage: Eukaryota; Metazoa; Chordata; Mammalia; Artiodactyla; Suidae.
GUCUUUUGUCUUUUUAGGACUGUACCUGCAGCAUAUGGAAGUUCCCAGGCAAGGGGUCUAAUUGGAGCUGUAGCUGCCGGCCUACACUACAGCCACAGUAACACAGGAUCCGAGCCACGUCUGCAACCUACACCACAGCUCACGGCAAUGCCAGAUCCUUAACCCACUGAGCGAGGCCAGGGAUUGAACCCGCAACUACAUGUUCCUAAUUGGAUUUGUUUCUGCUGUACCAUGACAGGAACUCCUCAACUGAGGUUUCUGGUGCAACUAAAAUAUUGUAACCAAAUAGAGAUGCAAACAGGAACUUUGAAAAAAAUGUUGUGUGGUUAAAUAAGUUUGAAGAACCAGAUUAAGCAAAGUUAGGUGAGCUUUUUUUUUUUUCUUCUUUGCAUGAGUUAGAGUCCUUUCCGUAUAUGCUAAUGUAUAACGUGAAACUUCUCGAGGAGAAUAUCUCAGUUGCAUUUCCAGGAAAGGUUGUCCCCAGAAUGCUUUUAUCGUGAGACAUGGGUCAGCCCUGGGAUGUGCUGUGGAGCCUGAUCCCUACUCUAUAAAUCUUGGCUUUUAACAUGAGAUGUAAAUUAACAGUUAAUACACACUUAGUGAGGAAGACAGUCAAGAGAGGGGGUGAGAGUUUCAGUUCCCCAAAUUUUCCCCGCAUGGUCUGUGAAUUUCUCUGAGGGAGGCCCCAUGUCAAACAGACCAGACACAAAUGCUAAUUGGAAUUUGGUACAAAGUCAUUCCAGGAAGCCCAGCGGAGGGCAGAGAACCACAGCAGGGCAGGGCUGGUGGAGACGAUGGGGGUUCUAGGCCCGGGGGGUGGGGGCGGUGCUGCUUGUCUUUCUGGGUGGCUCCAGGCAAAGGCCUUCUCCCCGGACCUCAGUGUCUCCUCUGAAAUGUGGGGAGAGGACCAGUUUGUCAGUGACGUUCUUCCCAGCCAUCCUAAGGCCAUAGUCAGGGCCCGGAUGUAGGAUAAGCCUUGUGAGCACACGCCCUCUGUGCUAUCCUAGAGCAAGAGGGAGAUGAAUAAGACUGCUAGCCCUACCCUCUAGGAAGGAAGCAAUUGUCUAAAGGUGUGUGUCUGUGUGUUGCAUAUAAUUAACAGGCAAUUGGAGGCGAGUUAAAGGGUUUUUUUUUUUUUGGUCCAUACAUGCGGCAUAUGGAAGUUCCCAGGCUAGGGAUUAAAUCAGAGCUGCAGCUGUGGCCUACACCACAGCCAUGGCAACACCGGAUCUGAGUCACAUCUGUGACCUACACCACAGCGUGCAGUGUACUGGAUUUUCAACCCACUGAGCAAGGCCAGGGAUCAAACCCGCAUCCUUACAGAGACAACAUUGGGUCCUUAAGCUGCUGAGCCGCAACAGGAACUCCAAAACAAAAGGUUUGAACCUAUCUGUUCACCUCUUUCUAGCACUGCUAGUCCUAGAAUGCUGAUCCUGAGGCCACAUCCAAGCUCGGGGCCGGGGGUUGGAAAGAGCACCCUGCUGGGUUAGUGUCAUCUGCCAGGGACGGCAGAGAGGGGCAUGUCUGCCUAUUUGUUCAGUCCUUGUAACACAAUGUGAAUGGAAAAAGGAGGGGUGAGCACGGGGCUGUGGGAGCCAGAAGGAGAACCCAGCCUGGGGUAGUUCUGGAGAAGAGCGCUUUGACAGAUGAAUGGGAGUUCGCCAGGUACAGAAAGGUGGGAAGAGGACUCCAUGCUGUUGCCAUAUUUUUUUCAGACAGGCCUGCCUCUCUCUCUCUCUAUUUAUUUAUUUUCACUUUUUUUUUUUUUUUAAGGGCCACGCCCGAGGCACAGGGAAGUUCCCAGGCUAGGGGUCGAAUCAGAGCUGCAGCCACUGGCCAUGCCACAGCCAGAGCAAUGCGGGAUCGAAGCCGCACCUGUGACCUCCCCCACAGCUCAUGGCAACACCAGAUUCUUAACCCACUGAGCGAGGCCAGGGAUUGAAUCCAGAUCCUCAUGGAUACUAGUCAGGUUUGUUACCCCUGAGUCACAAAGGGAGCUCCCAGAAAGGUCCUCUCUCUUGCCCUUAGUGGGGUGGAUGGAACAGGGUGGGAUGGAGGCAGAGGCACCAGCAAGGGACCCAUGACAGCCAGCCAGGCAGGGGCGGCUUGCGCAGAAGGAGAGGGAGGGAACAAGGGAGCGAGCAUGUUGGGGUAUCUUGGAGAGGCUGUCCACUUCCUCUCUCCAUGAAGAUUUAGAGGGAGAGGGGGACUGCCUGGUGCUGCAGGCACCAGCUCCCUCAGAUGAACAUGCUCUUGACCUUUGCUGAUUCUGAGUAAACAACUCAGCUUUGCAGCUGUGGAGCUGGGGCUUUGGCAGAGCAGACCUGAGCCUGCCUCCCCAGCCACGGCUGCCUGGGGGCUAGGAUCCUGCCCUACCCAGCACCCCAGUGCUGGGAGAGUGUUCUUGGCAACCAGUUACCCAGCAAGAUUAGUGAGAUGCCCCUGGAGGAGGGGCCAAGUGGGCACCUUUGUUUCUGCUUCUCUGGGUGGGGACCCCCUGAAAAGGCUUGUGAGGGGCCCUAACAACAGCAGCAGUAACCAUGACUCUCUUGGCAUCGGCCCAGCCUUUGAAAUGCACCCUGCAUCUAAAGCCUGCCAUCACCUCCUCUGCCAUCACCUUCAUUCCAGGUGCCCUAAUUUCACCAGAGACUUCCCACUGGCCUCCCAGCUUCCACCUGGCCCUCUCUGGUCUGCUCUCCAGAAGCCAGAGGGAUCCCGUCACUCUUCUGACCAAAAUCCUCCAACAGACACCAUCCUAGUCACUGUUAAAGUAAACAUCCCAACAUGACCAUCUGCUUCCCUCCUGGUGGCCCCCACCUCCUCUUUACCUCUCUGAUCUUAUUUCCCAUUGUUCAAGAUCAUUCAGCUCUGGCCUUCUGGCUUUUCCACUAGCUGACUGUGAGCAUUCAUGCCCCAGGACCUUUGCACCAGCCAUGCAUUCUCUCUAGAAUGCUCUUUCAGGUAAUCACACGGGUCCCUUCAUUGCCUCCUUUAGACCUUUGCUCAAAUAUCACCUUCUUAUUGAGGCCUCCUUGUACCGCAUCUAAAAUCGCAUCUCCCUCCACUUUUCCUGACCCCCUGCUGUGCUUUUAAUCCACAGGUGAUAUCGCCAUUUUGCAUAUUAUCUGUUUUACUUAUUUAUUAGUCUGACUCUUCCCUAAGCUGUAUGUUUCAUGAUUGCAGGGACCUUUGUUCUCUUGAUCACUGUUGCGAUCCUAGUCUGAAAAUACUAUCUGAUGCAUAUGAGGAGCUCAAAACCCGUUUGUUCCAUGAGUGAAGGAAUGAUACCAUUGAGCCUCACGUGUCUGGCAUUGGGCUUCCACCGUCUUAAUAAAUCUAGGAAGCCCGCACUAUGAAUUUUUAUUUUCAGUUUGGAUGAUUUCUCUUGCCCCAUUACCAUGUUCACUUUUCUCCCUGGGUAGAAUCUGUUGACAAUCUCAUCAUAAGACUUCUUUUUCUCUGACAUCAUAGUUUUCUUUUUUAGCGUGGCUUUAGCAUUUCCAGCCGGCUUCUUUUUAAAACGUGUCCUUCUCGCUUCCUAAAUUCCCCAUCUGUUUAUGCAUGUUGUUCACCUUUUCCACUAGAUCCUUUAGUCAACUUAGAGCUACUUUAAAGGCCUUGCUUCAUAGUAGAUGAGCAUGCAUUGAGUACAUUUAUCGUGUCGGGCACGGGGCUAGUGACUUUUAUCUCUUCAAGUUGAUUCAGAUAAGAAACUUGAAGCUCAAUAACGGGAAGUGACUUGCCCUAAGGUCCCCUGGCCAGGAAGCAAAGGCACUGGGGUUCCAACCCCAGGUGGACAGUUGAACUUUCGUUCUAACUAACACUGUUACUCCGCCUUCAGCCAUGAGCUCUCCCAGAGCCCUGGACUCAGCUCGCCAAUUUAUCCACAAAGAAGGAUCCAGGUGGCCUGUCCCCAUGGCACUUCACUGUGGCCAGGUCUCUGAAUAAUGGAGUGAGCUCAGUUUCAAGCCCCUGUAUUUGGCCUUCCAGACCCCCACCAUCUGGCCCCAUCCACCUUCUCCUCCCAUCCCUAGGGCUUCCCAGCAGGGCGCCAAGCUGGUCCCCUCUUCUGCCAGAAUCGCUCUCCACCUUUUUCUCAGCCCAUCACUCCACCCCAAACUUCAUUCUUUUGUCUCUUGUUCAUUGAUUCACUUAUUUAAUAUAUACUUGGUAUAUUUAACUCCACAUAUUUACCUCAGUAAAAGAGACGUGAUCAAAGAUUGCAGCUUCUAGAGCCAGACAGCCUAGUGAGAACUCUGGUCUCUCUGCUUACCAGCUGUGAUUUCAGUAAGGGAUUCAUCUCCCUGUGCCUCGAUUUCCUCAUCUGUAAAGUGGAAAUAAUGGGAGGACCUAUCUCAGUACACUAAUCUGAGGAGUUAAAGAAUUAGACGACAUAUGAGUAUAGGGCCUGACAGUCAGCCAGCUCUCAGUAAGUGUCAGCUGUCACUAAGAGCGAGUGCUGUGAUGUGGACACAGAGGUGGCUCAGACAUGACUCUACCCUCCGAGAUCCCUCAAUCCCAAGGGGUAUCAGACAUAUAAGCCCAGUCCCUAUGGUCAAGGCCAGAGAUGGCUCCCGCACAGGCCCAGGACUUGCCUUUGCUUGCCUGUCUAGCCACUUGGCCACUCAGAGGAACAGAGUCACUGGGCUGUGAAAAGUCCAGCUGGCCAGGCCCUGGUGGGAGUCCCCUCCUGCCAGUCCUUCCCCCAGCCCCCACCCCAGCCAGCACAUUUGCUCUCAUUGGCCAGAGAGGAGGGUAAGCUCUGGAAAGGCAGGGAUAAGGCUGAGGCUGAGUCCACAGACAGCUACACAGACAGGACACGCCCUCAGACAGACACACACACACACAUGCGGACAGAGCCCUAAUGUAAUAACACCUCACACGUUGUUCUUAGCAUGUGCCAGGCACUGUUCCAAGCAUUCCAUAUGGAUUAAUUUAUUUGAUCCUCACAACAGCCUUGUGAGGUACAUUGUAUUAAUAGCCCCAUUUAACUGAUGGGGCAAGUGAGUCAGAGAGGGGUUAGGCAAUUUACCAAGUUCAUACCAAAUCGGUGACAGACCCAAAUCCCAACCCAGGGAGUCAUACUGCAGAAGCAGAACUCUUAACCAUGCCUACGCCCAGACACGCAUACGCAUGGCACACACAGCUUUAGACAUGCGGGCACAGAGACAUGCCCCUUUUUGGACGUGGCGUCUUCUAGAAUGCAGAAACACAAGGGCAGGACGAGGAUGCCCUCUCCCUCACACCCCCCUCCCCGGACAUGAAGGGCUAAGUAUUUAACUCGAGACCCAUGCACGGCUGCGCAGGAACACACGGGCUCGUGCAGGCUGUGUGCACACAUGCCCCCUCAACACACACGCAUAUGGAAACAACAGUCACAUGAUUCUUGUAGAAACUUGCAGCAGCCCCAGGAGGAGCAGCAGCCCCAGGAGGAGGGGGGCUUCACCUGUGUGAUUCCCCAGUGUGCCCGGCGUAGCACCCAGCACCUAACAUGAGCUUAAUCCCUGCAGCUUCCCGCCUUAGGACUAGGGGCCCUUUGCCCCCCUUUGCCGUUAAGAGUUCUGACUUCAGAGUGAGACAGGCUGCCCUCCUACUUGCCAGGCAAGGGAUUUCACCUUUCUGAGCCUGCCCUGGAGCCCCCAGCCGCAGCUGCCUCCUGCUAUGCUCCAGCACACCAGGGACGGGAUGCUCUGGCCCCAGGGCCUUUGCACUUGCCUUUGCCCCCACGGAUCCACAGGGUUCCCUCCUCCCUGGCCCCUUCAGGUCUUUACCUCAAUGUUAUCUUUGGGGUUGGGGGGGGGUUGCCUGGUCUCCCUCCUUCAAUUGCAGCUGCUCCUCCAUUUCUCUGCUCUCCUGCUUGCUUUCUUUUUCUUUUUUCUUUUUUCUUUUCUUUUUCUUUUUCUUUUUCUCCUCCUCCUCCUCCUCCUCCUCCUCUUCUUCUUUUGGCUGCUUUCAUGGCUUGUGGAAAGUCCCAGGCCAGGGAUUGAA